Danio rerio (zebrafish) is the source of this 47-nucleotide non-coding RNA. NCBI's taxonomy places the organism in Eukaryota, Metazoa, Chordata, Actinopteri, Cypriniformes, Danionidae. The record is from Rfam.
CCAAAGGCUCUUUUAAGAGCCACCCAAGCUUUCAUUAAAAGAGUUGU